AACACAACUCACCUGCCUGAGCGGCUUACA
RNAcentral lists this small RNA (30 nucleotides) under Bombyx mori (domestic silkworm). Its description in RNAcentral is "ovarian small RNA-10207". The record is from RNAcentral. Lineage: Eukaryota; Metazoa; Arthropoda; Insecta; Lepidoptera; Bombycidae.